GGAGAAGUACCCAAGUCGGUGAAGGGGACGGUUUGCUAAACCGUUAGGUCGGGCUAUACCUGGCGCAAGGGUUCGAGUCCCUUCUUCUCCGCCA
This 94-nucleotide transfer RNA is filed under the name Oscillospiraceae bacterium. Its description in RNAcentral is "tRNA-Ser". It matches the Rfam family "tRNA". From Rfam's summary of the family: Transfer RNA (tRNA) molecules are approximately 80 nucleotides in length. Their secondary structure includes four short double-helical elements and three loops (D, anti-codon, and T loops). Lineage: Bacteria; Bacillati; Bacillota; Clostridia; Eubacteriales; Oscillospiraceae. The record is from RNAcentral.